This 438-nucleotide unclassified non-coding RNA is filed under the name plant metagenome. RNAcentral describes it as "partial contains 5.8S ribosomal RNA, internal transcribed spacer 2, and large subunit ribosomal RNA". The stretch from base 1 to 105 matches the Rfam family "5.8S ribosomal RNA", at positions 50 to 154 of the family's 154-position model. The record is from RNAcentral.
GAAACGCGAUAGGUAAUGUGAAUUGCAGAAUUCCGUGAAUCAUCGAAUCUUUGAACGCACCUUGCGCUCUAUGGUAUUCCGUAGAGCAUGCCUGUUUGAGUGCCGUGAAUUCUCCCAUCCCAAGCGGUUUUUAUCAAAGAAUUGCUAGGCGAAGGGGUUGAGAUGGGCGUUAUUAUAACUGCUUUUCUUCUCUAGAAAAGCUCGCCCGAAAAACAGCUAACGCCUCUGGGCCACUUUGCAUCCGCUUCUCUGAGGGGAGAAGCGGCCAAGCGCGCUCUGAUCAUCAGGCAUAGCAUGAUACGUCAUUUGCUAUGCUGUAGGAGGGCAUUUGGUUGUGGUUAUACCGCGUGCGUCAUUUUUUUUUCUUGCAAAGAGAAAAAAAAGCCCCCCUUUCAUUUCUGGUCUCAAAUCAGGUAGGAUCACCCGCUGAACUUAAGC